AGUGAACGCUGGCGGCAGGCCUAACACAUGCAAGUCGAACGGCAGCACAGUAAGAGCUUGCUCUUACGGGUGGCGAGUGGCGGACGGGUGAGGAAUACAUCGGAAUCUACUCUUUCGUGGGGGAUAACGUAGGGAAACUUACGCUAAUACCGCAUACGACCUACGGGUGAAAGCAGGGGAUCUUCGGACCUUGUGCGAUUGAAUGAGCCGAUGUCGGAUUAGCUAGUUGGCGGGGUAAAGGCCCACCAAGGCGACGAUCCGUAGCUGGUCUGAGAGGAUGAUCAGCCACACUGGAGCUGAGACACGGUCCAGACUCCUACGGGAGGCAGCAGUGGGGAAUAUUGGGCAAUGGGCGCAAGCCUGAUCCAGCCAUACCGCGUGGGUGAAGAAGGCCUUCGGGUUGUAAAGCCCUUUUGUUGGGAAAGAAAAGCAGCAGGUUAAUACCCCGCUGUUCUGACGGUACCCAAAGAAUAAGCACCGGCUAACUUCGUG
Molecule: ribosomal RNA, 492 nt
Filed under: uncultured bacterium
Lineage: Bacteria
Description: partial 16S ribosomal RNA
Rfam family: Bacterial small subunit ribosomal RNA
Source: RNAcentral